AGGCCAGUAGCUCUAAUGGCUAGAGCGCCGGUCUCCAAAACCGGAUGUUGUAGGUUCGAGUCCUACCUGGCCUGCGA
Molecule: transfer RNA, 77 nt
Filed under: Spirochaetota bacterium
Lineage: Bacteria; Pseudomonadati; Spirochaetota
Description: Spirochaetes bacterium tRNA-Trp
Rfam family: tRNA
About the family: Transfer RNA (tRNA) molecules are approximately 80 nucleotides in length. Their secondary structure includes four short double-helical elements and three loops (D, anti-codon, and T loops).
Source: RNAcentral